This 497-nucleotide ribosomal RNA is filed under the name uncultured bacterium. RNAcentral's name for it is "partial 16S ribosomal RNA". It matches the Rfam family "Bacterial small subunit ribosomal RNA", at positions 28 to 507 of the family's 1533-position model. The record is from RNAcentral.
GAUGAACGCUGGCGGCGUGCCUAAUACAUGCAAGUCGAGCGAACGGACGAGAAGCUUGCUUCUCUGAUGUUAGCGGCGGACGGGUGAGUAACACGUGGAUAACCUACCUAUAAGACUGGGAUAACUUCGGGAAACCGGAGCUAAUACCGGAUGAUAUUUUGAACCGCAUGGUUCAAAAGUGAAAGACGGUCUUGCUGUCACUUAUAGAUGGAUCCGCGCUGCAUUAGCUAGUUGGUAAGGUAACGGCUUACCAAGGCAACGAUGCAUAGCCGACCUGAGAGGGUGAUCGGCCACACUGGAGCUGAGACACGGUCCAGACUCCUACGGGAGGCAGCAGUAGGGAAUCUUCCGCAGUGGGCGAAAGCCUGACGGAGCAACGCCGCGUGAGUGAUGAAGGUCUUCGGAUCGUAAAACUCUGUUAUUAGGGAAGAACAUAUGUGUAAGUAACUGUGCACAUCUUGACGGUACCUAAUCAGAAAGCCACGGCUAACUACGUG